UGAAUAAAGCAUUUUAACUCGCUGUGGAAAAACAACUGUUGGGACUGCGGGAAUGUUCUUGCUGCGCCUGCGCAGUGGCGUUCUUUUCCAACCGACGCUCAGCCAGCCGUCAGAAAUGCAUCUGUCUGCCUCAGGUAAUGGAAGACCAUGAUCAAAUCACGUUUACUCUAACAAUUUUACACCGAGUUCUCGCGACUGUCUUCAUAGACGGGAAGGAAACAUGGAGAAAACUAUUCACAGUUGGAAGUGUUGGAGAACUGAUUAACUCAGCCAAAACUGACCUAUCUCAACAAGUAUCUAUUGAUCGCAUACUGAGAUUUGACGCAGAUUUUCAAGAAUUUAUUGACAUCGAUGUUAAUUCAGAAGUGAAGGAGCUUGACAAAUUCCAAAUAUAUUAUACUGCUAGUGCUACUGCUAGUACCUCACAGGAUUCAUUUGAAGGGAGAUUUGAGUCAUUACUGUCUCAUUCAACAGAUGUAAGCCGGACUGUCACCACAACUGGUCUGCUGACACUGCUCAUGGAAAAGGCCCUGACAAUCUUGAGAGAACAUGAAGACACAAAGACACUGUCAAUUUCUUCGAGAAAGUUACUUGUUAAAGU
Triplophysa dalaica is the source of this 601-nucleotide long non-coding RNA. RefSeq lists it as uncharacterized. The transcript is spliced from 3 exons. The record is from RefSeq and is a predicted model, not a curated record. NCBI's taxonomy places the organism in Eukaryota, Metazoa, Chordata, Actinopteri, Cypriniformes, Nemacheilidae.